This 428-nucleotide ribosomal RNA is filed under the name Arthrobacter tumbae. RNAcentral's name for it is "bacterial SSU rRNA". It matches the Rfam family "Bacterial small subunit ribosomal RNA", at positions 21 to 449 of the family's 1533-position model. The record is from RNAcentral. Lineage: Bacteria; Bacillati; Actinomycetota; Actinomycetes; Micrococcales; Micrococcaceae.
GGCUCAGGAUGAACGCUGGCGGCGUGCUUAACACAUGCAAGUCGAACGAUGAUCUCCAGCUUGCUGGGGGGAUUAGUGGCGAACGGGUGAGUAACACGUGAGUAACCUGCCCUUGACUCUGGGAUAAGCCUGGGAAACUGGGUCUAAUACUGGAUACGACCUUCCAUCGCAUGGUGGUUGGUGGAAAGCUUUUGUGGUUUUGGAUGGACUCGCGGCCUAUCAGCUUGUUGGUGGGGUAAUGGCCUACCAAGGCGACGACGGGUAGCCGGCCUGAGAGGGUGGACGGCCACACUGGGACUGAGACACGGCCCAGACUCCUACGGGAGGCAGCAGUGGGGAAUAUUGCACAAUGGGCGCAAGCCUGAUGCAGCGACGCCGCGUGAGGGAUGAAGGCCUUCGGGUUGUAAACCUCUUUCAGUAGGGAAGAA